GACGAACGCUGGCGGCGUGCUUAACACAUGCAAGUCGAACGGAAAGGCCCCUUUUUGGGUACUCGAGUGGCGGACGGGUGAGUAACACGUGAGUAACCUGCCCUCGACUUCGGGAUAACUUCAGGAAACUGGGGCGAAUACCUGAUAGGAAUCCUUUCUGCAUGGUUGGGGUGGGAAGGCUUCGUGGGUUUUGGAGGGACGCGCGGCCUAUCAGCUUGUUGGUGGGGUAGUGGCUUACUAACGCUUUCACGGGUAGCCGGCCUGAGAGGGGGACCGGCCACAUUGGGACUGAGAUACGGGGCAGACUCCUACGGGAGGGAGAAGUGGGGAAUAUUGCACAAUGGGCGGAAGCCUGAUGCGGCGACGCGGCGUGCGGGAUGACGGGCUUCGGGUGGUAAACCGCUUUCAGCAGGGGCGAAGCUUGUGGUGACGGUAAAUGGAGAAGAAGCAACGGCUAAAUACGUG
Molecule: ribosomal RNA, 465 nt
Filed under: uncultured bacterium
Lineage: Bacteria
Description: partial 16S ribosomal RNA
Rfam family: Bacterial small subunit ribosomal RNA
Source: RNAcentral